This 46-nucleotide small RNA is filed under the name Rhodopirellula maiorica SM1. RNAcentral's name for it is "Acido-Lenti-1 RNA". It matches the Rfam family "Acido-Lenti-1 RNA". Lineage: Bacteria; Pseudomonadati; Planctomycetota; Planctomycetia; Pirellulales; Pirellulaceae. The record is from Rfam by way of RNAcentral.
CCCCGGACUGGCGUCCGGGGCUAUAACAUGGCGUCACUUCGUGACU